GGCUCAGGACGAACGCUGGCGGCGUGCUUUAUGAAUGCGAGUCGAACGGCAACAGGCUGAGAUCUUCGGAUGGAUGCCUGCUAGAGUGGCAAACGGGUGAGUAACACGUGGGUAACGUGCCCUAGAGACGGGGACAACGGAGGGAAACCUCCGCUAAUACCCGAUGGUCUGGCUUACCAUAAGGUAAGUCGGUAAACGGAGCAAUCCGCUUUAGGAUCGGCCCGCGGCCCAUUAGCUAGUUGGUGGGGUAAUGGCCCACCAAGGCGACGAUGGGUAGCCGGUCUGAGAGGAUGGCCGGCCACACUGGGACUGAGACAUGGUCCAGACUCCUACGGGAGUUAGCAUCAGGGAAUCUUGCGCAAUGGGCGAAAGCCUGACGCAGCGACGCCGCGUGGGUGAUGAAGGUCUGCGGAUCGUAAAGCCCUGUCAGGAGGGACGAACGCCGUGUUCUGCACGGUUUGACGGUACCUCCAAAGGAAGCCCCGGCUAACUACGUGCCAGCAGCCGCGGUAAGACGUAGGGGGCAAGCGUUGUCCGGAAUUACUGGGCGUAAAGAGCGCGUAGGCGGUUCAGUAAGCGGAAGGUGAAAUCCCGGGGCUCAACUCCGGGGCUGCUUUCCGAACUGCUGGACUAGAGUAUGGGAGAGGGCAGUGGAAUUCCUGGUGUAGCGGUGGAAUGCGUAAAUAUCAGGAGGAACUCCCGUGGCGAAGGCUGCUGCCUGGAACAUUACUGACGCUGAGGCGCGAAAGCUAGGGGAGCGAACGGGAUUAGAUACCCCGGUAGUCCUAGCCGUAAACGAUGGACACUAGGUGUUGGAGGCAUCGACCCCUCCAGUGCUGUUUUGCUAACGCGUUAAGUGUCCCGCCUGGGGAGUACGGCCGCAAGGUUGAAACUCAAAG
RNAcentral lists this ribosomal RNA (899 nucleotides) under uncultured bacterium. RNAcentral describes it as "bacterial SSU rRNA". It matches the Rfam family "Bacterial small subunit ribosomal RNA", at positions 21 to 906 of the family's 1533-position model. The record is from RNAcentral.